RNAcentral lists this small RNA (805 nucleotides) under Pan troglodytes (chimpanzee). Its description in RNAcentral is "processed transcript". The record is from RNAcentral. Lineage: Eukaryota; Metazoa; Chordata; Mammalia; Primates; Hominidae.
CUCCCUGAACACUCGGAGGUGGCGGUGGAUCUUACUCCUUUCAGCCAGUGAGGAUCCAGCGAGCUGCUCCGUGCCUCCCGCGCCUGUUGGUUGGAAGUGACGACCUUGAAGAUCGGCCGGUUGGAAGUGACGACCUUGAAGAUCGGCGGGCGCAGCGGGGCCGAGGGGGCGGGUCUGGCGCUAGGUCCAGCCCCUGCGUGCCGGGAACCCCAGAGGAGGUCGCAGUUCAGCCCAGCUGAGGCCUGUCUGCAGAAUCGACACCAACCAGCAUCAUGUCCAUGACACUGGGGUACUGGGACAUCCGCGGGCUGGCCCACGCCAUCCGCCUGCUCCUGGAAUACACAGACUCAAGCUACGAGGAAAAGAAGUACACGAUGGGGGACGCUCCUGACUAUGACAGAAGCCAGUGGCUGAAUGAAAAAUUCAAGCUGGGCCUGGACUUUCCCAAUGUAGGUGCAGGGGAAGGGGCAGUUUUUGGGGAAAAGUGCGACGUGUCUCUGACUGCAUCUCCUCUCCCCAGCUUAGAGGUGUUCGGAUCAGGAGUCUUCUGCCCAAUUCCUCUCACUCCUGGUUGUCUACACAGCCCCUCCAUGAUGUUCUGUGUCCCAGCUCAUUUGUUCAUGUGACAGUAUUUCUAUGUCAGGCCUGCCAUGAGCGGGCACAGUGAGUGCCCGGUCUCCCCUCUGCCCUUGCAUAUGGGAAGGGGAUGCUGGGGAGCCUGGUGGCCCAACUGAGCUUCCCCGGUUUCCCAUCUAUCCAGCUGCCCUACUUGAUUGAUGGGGCUCACAAGAUCACCCAGAGCAAC